AUAACGGUCCUAAGGUAGCGAAAUUCCUUGUCAGGUAAGUUCUGACCCGCACGAAUGGCGUAAUGAUUUGGGCACUGUCUCAACAGCCCGCCCGGCGAAAUUGUAGUACUGGUGAAGAUGCCAGUUACCCGCAACUAGACGGAAAGACCCCAUGGAGCUUUACUGCAGCUUAAUACUGAAAUUCGGUAGUACAUGUACAGGAUAGGUGGGAGACUGAGAAAUACAGGCGUCAGCUUGUAUGGAGUCGCUGUUGGGAUACCACUCUUGUACUGCUGGGUUUCUAACCUGCGGCCGUGAAUCCGGUCGGGGGACACUGUUAGGCGGGCAGUUUGACUGGGGCGGUCGCCUCCUAAAGAGUAACGGAGGCGCUCAAAGGUUGGCUCAGCACGGACGGAAAUCGUGCAGUGAGUGUAAACGUAUAAGCCAGCCUAACUGCGAGACCGACGGGUCGAGCAGUAACGAAAGUUGGAGUUAGUGAUCCGGUGGUAUGUGAGUGGAAAUGCCAUCGCUCAACGGAUAAAAGCUACCCUGGGGAUAACAGGCUGAUCUCCCCCAAGCGUCCACAGCGACGGGGAGGUUUGGCACCUCGAUGUCGGCUCGUCGCAUCCUGGGGCUGAAUUCGGUCCCAAGGGUUUGGCUGUUCGCCAAUUAAAGCGGCACGCGAGCUGGGUUCAGAACGUCGUGAGACAGUUCGGUCCCUAUCUGUUGCGGGCGUAAGAGAUUUGAAGGGAGCUGUCCUUAGUACGAGAGGACCGGGAUGGACGUACCUCUGGUGCACCAGUUGUCCUGCCAAGGGCAUAGCUGGGUAGCUAUGUACGGACGAGAUAAACGCUGAAAGCAUCUAAGCGUGAAACUCCCCCUAAGAUGAGAUCUCUCAUCCUUCAAGGAGUAAGGACCCAGAAAGACGAUCUGGUUGAUAGGCCGAAGGUGGAAGCGCAGUAAUGUGUGCAGCUGAUCGGUACUAAUAGUCCGAGGGCUUGACCUA
Molecule: ribosomal RNA, 985 nt
Filed under: human gut metagenome
Description: bacterial LSU rRNA
Rfam family: Bacterial large subunit ribosomal RNA
Source: RNAcentral